This is a long non-coding RNA of Neofelis nebulosa (Clouded leopard), 3112 nucleotides long. RefSeq lists it as uncharacterized. The transcript has 2 exons. NCBI's taxonomy places the organism in Eukaryota, Metazoa, Chordata, Mammalia, Carnivora, Felidae. The record is from RefSeq and is a predicted model, not a curated record.
AAAAGAGAAGAAAAGAAAAGAAGGAAACAGUAGCAAUGAGUUGAAACUACAAGAGAGAGAGAGCAUGAUCAGAGGAGGGACAGAGACAGAGAAAUUAAAAGGAUUAAAAGGAUUAAAAGCAGUCUCUGCACUAACAGCAGCAAGCCUGAUGUGAGACUUGAACUCACAAACUGCGAGAUCACGACCCGAGCCAAAGUUGGACGCUCAACCGAAUGAGUCACCCAGGCACCCCACUAGCGGAAAUUUUGAAUAAACACAGAAUUGGUAUGAUUAUUCUCUUCUAAAAUUUAUGUGAUAAUUUCCAGUAGUAUAGUUCAUGGGGAAAAUAAAUCAUUAGGCCCUAUGCACAAGAUGCCAACCAAAUAAUAAACUUGAAUAGUGAUUGGCUAUUGGGCAAUUGAGUAGUUAGAAUGCCAGCUCCUGAAAAUACUUCUCUGUUUGCUUGAUUCCCUCAAGAGUUACUGUGGACUAAAAGUUUUAUUGGCAUUUUUCAUCUCUCGGCCUAUAAAUAUUAUCAGAUAUCUGUUCCUUUCUACCAACUUGUUGUCUCUCUCUUUCCCUUAAAGGCUAAACUUCUUGAAAGAGUUGACUAUCUCUACUUUCUCCUUUUUCUUCAGUCCUCGGUGUACUUCCCACCUUCCAUUUAGUUCCCCUUCUUCUCAUCCCUCCAUUAAUAUGUCUCAUGAUCUAUUACUGACCAAGUCACAUACAUAUCAGUACCCCCCAUCUCCGGUCCAGUCAUUUGGUCAACUGAUUGAAUGGUUAAUUCCAUCCCAAGUAUCUCUUUUGACUCAAGUCUCUAGGAUAGGUACUGGAGGAUGUUGAACAUGCCUGCAGUAUAAAGGCCUGAGUAUGUAGAUUUUGAAAAAUUUUCCCUGUUGGUUUUGAAAUGGUGCCUGUAAUCUGGUCUCUGUUCCUUAGACAUCUAUUUUUAAUGUGUUAACUGCCAGCUAUGUUGGUAUCUCUCAAGUCUGUAGCUUGAACUUGGGGCUCUUUCCUGACAAUCUAAGCCAAAUAUGUAAUUAUCUACUGGCGAUUGUCACCAGAUUGUGCCACAGUCAGAUAAAAAGAACAGCGUACAAACUGGCUCCUCUUUCUUUGCUCACCAAAACCUGGCUCGGGAUGGUAACAUUUACCUUGGCAUCCAAUUCUGAAAUGUGGGAGUCAACCUAGAGUUACCAAGUCUGUGCAUCCAGUUGGUCACUAAGUGCUAUUAAUUACAUUUCCUUUGCAAGUCUCUAACGUGAAUCCUUUUCUCCCUUUAUUGCAUCAGGUCAGGUUUUAUAAUUUCCGUCUGGGACUUUAUUUUUUUGGUGGCCGCUUCCAUUCCAAUUUAUCUUCAUAGCCAAAGCUGUAUUUCCACAGUACAAAUCUCAUUAUACCUUCUGCUGAGAUCUGUUAGCGGCUUCUGCACCACUUUUAAGAUCAGAAGUCUCUGUGUGUAAAAACUUCCCUUAAUGAUUGGCCCCCGACUGGCUGUCCAGCCCUAUACACUGCAUUAUCCAUAUUUGCACUUUGUGCCCAAGUGUGAACUAAUUAUUCCCAUUUUUUUGAAAAGAGUCAUGCUAUUCCUUGUGUCUGUGCCUUUUUCAUACUGUUUUCCUUUUCCAAACAUGCUCCUCUUGCCCCUUUCCCAUCUAAGAAAUUCUUAUUCUUUAGUACUUAGCUCAAUUUUUAUCUUUUCUAGCAGGCCUCUCCUCCCUUUCUCAUGCAUUUAAUGGAGUUAAACAUGGGCCUCUGUACAUUAUGGUGUACUGGCUCAUAUGUGAAUGUUCUAAUGUGAUAUAUAUAUAUAUAUAUAUAUAUAUAUAUAUAAUCGUUCAAUGACUUCUACUGUUUCUUAAAAUGAAAUCAAAUUUCUUAUUAUAGCCUAUAAGGCCCUGUAUGCCCAAACUCCUUCCCACUAAUCCUUCUCCUCAUCUUUAACUGGACUUCAGUUAUGCUGGAUUCCUUUUAGAUCACAGACCAAGACAAACUUUCUCCCACCUUACAGACCAUGUAUAUUCUGCAUCCUAUUCCUGGAAGGUUAAGUCCAGUUUUUAACAAGCAUGGCUUUUCCUCAUUUUUAAAGUCUAGCUUAAAAGACCCUCUCAGAUAAAAUUUCCUUGCUCUUAGUAAUUUCUCCUCCCACCCUUACCCCCAUAGUAUUUUUCAAAGCAUAUUUAUAGGAUUUUUUUAGCUUGUAAUUUCAUAGCAUAUAUAUGAACUCAUGAAAUUCAUAUACAUACAUACAUACAUACAUAUGUGUGUAAAAAUGUCUUUAUGUGUCUAUCUCUCCAUGUGUCUAUAUGCAUGUGUGUAUACCUUAUUAAGGAAAUAUAUAUUCCAAAAACACACAAAUAUUGUGAGCAAUGAAGUUUUACAAAAUGAACACAUCCAUGAAUCCAGAUCACAGUAUAGAAUAUUAUGUGCAUGAUAGCCAGCCUUGCUUGAGAUAGCUGCAACUAUCUACCAAACUUCCUCCCAGCUCCCCACAAAAAUAAUAUACCAUAUUGUGACUUUUAUUGCAAUAGAUUACUAUAACCUCUUUUUGAAAUUAUAUGUGUAUGUACUCUUUUGUGCCUAAAUUCAACAUUUUCUUGUGAUAUUCAUCCAUUUUGCUGUAUACACAGUUUGUUCAUUCAUAUUGUUGACUAGUUUUCCAUUAUACUAUAUGUGACAAUUAGAGUUAUCCACUCUACUCUUGAUGAAUAAUGCUGCUUGAACAUUGUUGCAUGUGUUUUUUUUUUCCUGGUGUGUGUUUAUAUAUAUAUAUGUAUGUACAUAAAUGUAUAUAUGUAUAUAAAUGUAUAUAUGUGUCUAUAUAUAUAAAUGUGUGUGUGUGUGUGUGUAUAUAUAUGUAUAUAAAAUUUGGGGGGAAAUGCAGAAGCUAUGCAUAAGAUAUGCACAUACAUAGCUUUGGUAGAUACUCCCGAUGGAUUUCUAGGAUGUUUGCAUGUGUGUAUAAGCAGUAUAAGAGUUCCAGUUGCUACACAUACAUACCAAUAUUUGGCAUUGUUAUAAUUUUUAAUUUUUGAUUUUCCACUGUGUGUGUGCAUUGCUAUGUAAUUUUGAUUUUAUUUUUGUAUUGUCUUAAUGUCUAAUAUUAAAGAUUUUUUGUUAUGCUUAUUGA